UUGUUGGAGGGUUUGAUUCUGGCUCAGGAUGAACGCUGGCGGCGUGCUUAACACAUGCAAGUCGAACGGGAUCCAAGCAGCUUGCUGUUUGGUGAGAGUGGCGAACGGGUGAGUAAUGCGUGACUAACCUGCCCUGUACUUUGGAAUAGCUCCUGGAAACGGGUGGUAAUGCCGAAUGCUCCGCGCUAUCGCAUGGUGGCGUGGGAAAGGGUUUCUGGUAUGGGAUGGGGUCGCGUCCUAUCAGCUUGUUGGUGGGGUGAUGGCCUACC
Molecule: ribosomal RNA, 269 nt
Organism: Bifidobacterium actinocoloniiforme DSM 22766
Lineage: Bacteria; Bacillati; Actinomycetota; Actinomycetes; Bifidobacteriales; Bifidobacteriaceae
Rfam family: Bacterial small subunit ribosomal RNA
Source: Rfam